Molecule: ribosomal RNA, 459 nt
Filed under: uncultured bacterium
Lineage: Bacteria
Description: partial 16S ribosomal RNA
Rfam family: Bacterial small subunit ribosomal RNA
Source: RNAcentral
CCUACGGGAGGCAGCAGUGAGGAAUAUUGGUCAAUGGGCGGAAGCCUGAACCAGCCAAGUAGCGUGCGGGAUGAAGGCCCUACGGGUCGUAAACCGCUUUUGCACGGGGAUAACACCCUCCACUUGUGGAGGUCUGCAGGUACCGUGCGAAUAAGGGCCGGCUAAUUCCGUGCCAGCAGCCGCGGUAAUACGGAAGGCCCGAGCGUUAUCCGGAUUCAUUGGGCUUAAAGGGAGCGUAGGCGGGCGUUCAAGUCAGCUGUAAAAGCGCGCGGCUCAACCGCGCCCCGCAGUUGAAACUGGACGCCUUGAGUGCACAACAGGCAGGCGGAAUUCGUGGUGUAGCGGUGAAAUGCAUAGAUAUCACGAGGAACCCCGAUUGCGAAGGCAGCCUGCCGGGGUGCGACUGACGCUGAGGCUCGAAGGUGCGGGUAUCAAACAGGAUUAGAUACCCCAGUAGUC